This is a long non-coding RNA of Homo sapiens (human), 233 nucleotides long. RefSeq lists it as uncharacterized. The transcript is spliced from 2 exons. Lineage: Eukaryota; Metazoa; Chordata; Mammalia; Primates; Hominidae. The record is from RefSeq and is a predicted model, not a curated record.
CAGGAUCCAAUCCAGGAUACCAUAUUAUUUCAUGCUACGUCUGAAAGUUCUAAAACAGAGCACAAAGAAGGCUCACUAAGUACGGCCUUACCACCAGCCAUUGUUUUUGGUCAGAGAUGAUGAUGCAUUCUUGGAUGGACUAGAUUUUCAGCAAAGGAGCUGCUUUUCACAUAUGAUAUGUAAGAAAUAAAUACGAAGAUGUCAUAAAAAAUAAACUUUCUACUUGUGUGAAA